AUUGAACGCUGGCGGCAUGCCUUACACAUGCAAGUCGAACGGCAGCACGGGUCCUUGCCCCUGGUGGCGAGUGGCGAACGGGUGAGUAAUACAUCGGAACCUUUCCUUUAGUGGGGAUAGCCCGUCGAAAGCCGGAUUAAUACCCCAUACAAUCUCCGGAUGAAAGCGGGGGACCUUCGGGCCUCGCGCUGUAGGGUUGUCCGAUGGCUGAUUAGCUAGUUGGUGGGGUAAAGGCCUACCAAGGCGACGAUCAGUAGCUGGUCUGAGAGGACGACCAGCCACACUGGGACUGAGACACGGCCCAGACUCCUACGGGAGGCAGCAGUGGGGAAUUUUGGACAAUGGGCGAAAGCCUGAUCCAGCAAUGCCGCGUGUGUGAAGAAGGCCUUCGGGUUGUAAAGCACGUUUGUCCGGAAAGAAAUCCUUGGCCCUAAUACGGUCGGGGGAUGACGGUACCGGAAGAAUAAGCACCGGCUAACUACGUG
This 485-nucleotide ribosomal RNA is filed under the name uncultured bacterium. RNAcentral describes it as "partial 16S ribosomal RNA". It matches the Rfam family "Bacterial small subunit ribosomal RNA", at positions 30 to 507 of the family's 1533-position model. The record is from RNAcentral.